GACGAACGCUGGCGGCGUGCUUAACACAUGCAAGUCGAACGGAAAGGCCUGCUGUGCCAUGUGGAUUGCGAGUACUCGAGUGGCGUACGGGUGAGUAACACGUGAGUGAGCUGUCCGCAACGGGGGUAUAAGCUUGGGAAAGUGAGUCUAAUUCACGAUAGGACGGGAGGGUGGUGGAUUUGGUGGUAAAGGAUGUUCUAGUGGUUGGGGAGGAGCUUGGGGGGUAUCAGGUCGUUGGUGGGGUAGUGGCGUACCAAUGCGGCGACGGGGAGCCGGCCUGGGAGGGCGGACGUCCACAUUGGGCCUGAGAUACUGCCCAGACUCCUACGGGAGGCAGCAGUGGGGAAUAUUGCACGAUGAGCGGAAGCCUGAUGCAGCGACGCCGCGUGGGGGAUGACGGCCUUCGGGUUGUGAACUCCUUUCGACCGCGAGGAAGCCACCUGGUUGGAAGGGUGGUGACGGUAGUGGUAGAAGAAGCACCGGCUAACUACGUG
This 494-nucleotide ribosomal RNA is filed under the name uncultured bacterium. RNAcentral describes it as "partial 16S ribosomal RNA". It matches the Rfam family "Bacterial small subunit ribosomal RNA", at positions 28 to 507 of the family's 1533-position model. The record is from RNAcentral.